Long non-coding RNA from Hipposideros armiger (great roundleaf bat), 1543 nucleotides. RefSeq lists it as uncharacterized. The record is from RefSeq and is a predicted model, not a curated record. NCBI's taxonomy places the organism in Eukaryota, Metazoa, Chordata, Mammalia, Chiroptera, Hipposideridae. The transcript has 3 exons.
UCCGGGGUAAUUAGCCCAACACUUUGCAGAAACGUAUUUAUUUUGAUUCAUCCAUUCAUUUAUUAACUCCUUCUAAGAUAUCUGUUAGUACCUCUUCCAGGCUAAUUGUACUACUCUUCAUUGGGGGCUGUGAGAUCCAUCUUCUAAGAUGGUCCCCAGUGAUGCCUACCUCCUGCUACUCAUACCCUUGUGUAGUCCCUUGCACAUUGCACAUCAGAAAGCAUGGCAUGUCAAUUCUGAGGUUAGGCGGUAAGAGACUAUGGCUUCCUUCCUUGGGCUUUAUAUAUCUUGGAUCACUCUCUCUGGGGAAACCAUGUUGUCUACAGCCCUAUGAGUGGCCCGUGUGGUGAGAAGCUGUAUCCUCCUACCAACAGCCAUGUGAGGGAGCUGUAAAGUGGAUCCUGUUGACUCAAGUUUCCUCCUGGCUGACACCUUGGUUGCACCCUUACAAGAGGCCCUAUGCAAGUACCAGCUGCUCUAGAAUUCCUGACUCAGAAACUGUGAGAUGAGUGUUUGUUCUUUUACCAUGACACUUUUGGGACAAUUUUUUUAUAUAGAAAAACUAAUACAGAGGCCCGUGGAUGAACAAGGCACUGUUCCUGUCUUCACGAAGCUUCUAGUUCAGAAAAAAGUGCUGAUUUACUGUUAAGCCCAACGUAAGCAAAACGAGAGCACUUUGGAGCAUCACUUCUCAGUCUUGGAGGCCAGAGACGCUGAAGAAAUGAUGCCUCAUCUGUGGCUCAAAGGAUCCGGCCGAGGAGGGAGCCAAAGCAAAGCUUGGCGCUGAAGAGGCGUGGUGUUCCAGAUAGAAGGAAGAGGGUGAGCGCAGGCCCGGGGCAGGUAGAAGAAUCACAGUCGUUCCCAAGGACAGGGCUCCUGUGGGCAGUGAGAAAGGAACAUGGAUGCCACAGGGAGAAGUGUGAUGUUUGGCCUGAAGUUCUAGGAUGAACAUGGCUGCAACCAGAGCAUGAGGCAGGCUCCUACGUGUCUACGAAGUCUCAACUUAGGUGUCACUGCUUCUUGGACACAUAAGCUGGUAUCUGAUUCCCAUCAGUGCUACCUCUCAUCCCAUGGUGAAAUAAUUUGUGAUUCUCUCUACCCUACUGGUUGGUGAACUCCUUAAAGACAGGAGCCAUCUUUCCCGUGCCUGACACUGACAGCACAGGAUCUGGUAUAAAAUAGAUGGCGAUUUCUUUGAAGUCAGGAGGAACUCCCCAGCUGGAUGACCGGGGCAGAAACGGGCUCCAACUGAUCAUGAUAUGAAUUUGAAGGGAACAAUUAAGGCACUAUUUCCAUUUUGAUUCGAAUAGUAAGCCUUUUUACUUGCAUGCCUUUCAACCUGUCUGCAUUCCAGCUGAAACUUCAAUGAAGCCUUAUGUCAGAGCUCUUAAAAGGCCUUUGAAAAGGAAACAUGUGAAAUCAUAAAUGCUUCAGAAAUAAAAAAAAUGUUUCUCAGCCCAUUACAUUUUUAACCCCUUGUUUCUGCUCACAGACUUUGUUAAAGGUCAGUAGGACUGUUUCAACAGUCUACGCUUUAGUCUUC